Molecule: ribosomal RNA, 385 nt
Filed under: uncultured bacterium
Lineage: Bacteria
Description: bacterial SSU rRNA
Rfam family: Bacterial small subunit ribosomal RNA
Source: RNAcentral
GAACGCGAAGAACCUUACCUGGCCUUGACAUCCACGGAAUUUGGCAGAGAUGCCUUAGUGCCUUCGGGAACCGUGAGACAGGUGAUGCAUGGCUGUCGUCAGCUCGUGUUGUGAAAUGUUGGGUUAAGUCCCGCAACGAGCGCAACCCUUAUCCUUUGUUGCCAGCACGUAAUGGUGGGAACUCAAAGGAGACUGCCGGUGAUAAACCGGAGGAAGGUGGGGAUGACGUCAAGUCAUCAUGGCCCUUACGGCCAGGGCUACACACGUGCUACAAUGGCGCAUACAAAGAGAAGCGACCUCGCGAGAGCAAGCGGACCUCAUAAAGUGCGUCGUAGUCCGGAUCGGAGUCUGCAACUCGACUCCGUGAAGUCGGAAUCGCUAGUAA